Molecule: small RNA, 519 nt
Filed under: Histoplasma ohiense
Lineage: Eukaryota; Fungi; Ascomycota; Eurotiomycetes; Onygenales; Ajellomycetaceae
Description: hypothetical lncRNA
Source: RNAcentral
GCUGCAACCGAGCCAAAUAGAGGGUCUGAGCUCGCUGAGAUAAGGUGAAUCGAUAUAGUUAUGAAGUCUAGCAAGCUCUCAGGACGUUGUGUGUCUCAAACAUAGACUACUCCGGCGAAAAUAACCAUGAAAAUUGUUGUUUCCGCUAGGAUGCGAAAUUUGGUGGACUAACUUUCUGGUACUCGAAUUCAAUUGGCUCGAAGCAAGUUAUUUGACGAUUAUACAACAUACGCCAAUUGUGGAUUAAUAUGAGGAAUCAACGACACGGAUGUAAAUAAACAUACUAUCUUGAUGCCAUUCGCUACAAACAGAAAGACAAAGGCAGUCUAUUUCAUUUUUUUCAGUUGCGAAUUUAUCACAUAAAUUCUCCGUUUGGACCAAACACCUACUACGACACAUCGAGGCAUGCUGGCUUCCGAACAAACUUCGCUGCCAAUAACUAUGAGCCAAGUUGAUGAGUCAGCCUGCCCCGGCUCCAGGUCGGGAGCUAUCGCUCGCUAACAUGACCUCGUUCCACCC